Long non-coding RNA from Oncorhynchus keta (chum salmon), 1682 nucleotides. RefSeq lists it as uncharacterized. The record is from RefSeq and is a predicted model, not a curated record. The transcript has 3 exons. NCBI's taxonomy places the organism in Eukaryota, Metazoa, Chordata, Actinopteri, Salmoniformes, Salmonidae.
CAGAGAGCAGGGGUAUAACAGUCUGUACUACACUGUGAAGUAUUUAUCAUUUCUGCUAUGCUCGUCCAUUUGUUUCUUUGUCUUCAGUGAUGCAGGUUUUUAUAGGUUUUUGUGGCAACUGUACAUUUUUUCACUGUGUUUAGAACUUGGACUUGUUGUUUGUGUCUACCAAAGUGUGGCUGCUGUGUUUCCACUGGUGUUUGUGUGUCCAUUGAGCAAGUUUUGGAAGCUAAACUCCUAGGUAUAACAGUAGAUGGUCAAUUAUCAUGGUCAAGUCAUAUUGACAAAGUUAUUGUGAAGAUGAGGAAGGGUAUGUCUUAUAACGUUUAUUUAUCUAGGCAAAUCAGUUAAGAACAAAUUCUUAUUCUUGUCAAAUUCUUAUUUACAAUGACGGCCUACAGAUGAAGUGAGACCGGUUUGGACCAGGUUAGAUGAGGUGAGACAGGUUUAGACCAGGUUAUCUGAGGUGAGACAGAUUUAGACCAGGUUAGAUGAGGUGAGAUAGAUUUAGACCAGGUUAGGUUAGGUGAGACAGGUUUAGACCAGGUUAGAUGAGGUGAGAUAGAUUUAGACGAGGUUAGGUGAGACAGGUUUAGACCAGGUUAGGUUAGGUGAGACAGGUUUAGACCAGGUUAGAUGAGGUGAGAUAGACUUAGACGAGGUUAGGUGAGACAGGUUUAGACCAGGUUAGCUGAGGUGAGACAGAUUUAGACCAGGUUAGAUGAGGUGAGAUAGAUUUAGACCAGGUUAGGUUAGGUGAGACAGGUUUAGACCAGGUUAGAUGAGGUGAGAUAGAUUUAGACGAGGUUAGGUGAGACAGGUUUAGACCAGGUUAGGUUAGGUGAGACAGGUUUAGACCAGGUUAGAUGAGGUGAGAUAGACUUAGACGAGGUUAGGUGAGACAGGUUUAGACUAGGUUUGGUGAGGUGAGACAGGUUUAGACCAGGUUAGGUGAGGUGAGACAGGUUUAGACCAGGUUAGGUGAGGUGAGAUAGACUUAGACGAGGUUAGGUGAGACCGGUUUAGACCAGGUUUGGUGAGGUGAGACAGGUUUAGACCAGGUUAGGUGAGGUGAGACAGGUUUAGACCAGGUUAGGUGAGGUGAGACAGGUUUAGACCAGGUUAGGUGAGGUGAGACAGGUUUAGACCAGGUUAGGUGAGGUGAGACAGGUUUAGACCAGGUUAGGUGAGGUGAAAAAGGUUUAGACCAGGUUAGGUGAGGUGAGACAGGUUUAGACCAGGUUAGGUGAGGUGAGACAGGUUUAGACCAGGUUAGGUGAGGUGAGACAGGUUUAGACCAGGUUAGGUGAGGUGAGACAGGUUUAGACCAGGUUAGGUGAGGUGAGACAGGUUUAGACCAGGUUAGGUGAGGUGAGACAGGUUUAGACCAGGUUAGGUGAGGUGAGACAGGUUUAGACCAGGUUAGGUGAGGUGAGACAGGUUUAGACCAGGUUAGGUGAGGUGAGACAGGUUUAGACCAGGUUAGGUGAGGUGAGACAGGUUUAGACCAGGUUAGGUGAGGUGAGACAGGUUUAGACCAGGUUAGGUGAGGUGAGACAGGUUUAGACCAGGUUAGGUGAGGUGAGACAGGUUUAGACCAGGUUAGGUGAGGUGAGACAGGUUUAGACCAGGUUAGGUGAGGUGAGACAGGUUUAGACCAGGUUAGGUGAGGUGAGACAGAU